Molecule: small nucleolar RNA, 128 nt
Filed under: Zalophus californianus (California sea lion)
Lineage: Eukaryota; Metazoa; Chordata; Mammalia; Carnivora; Otariidae
Description: Small nucleolar RNA SNORA31 (ENSZCAG00015003763.1)
Rfam family: Small nucleolar RNA SNORA31
About the family: ACA31 (SNORA31) belongs to the H/ACA class of snoRNAs which are thought to guide the sites of modification of uridines to pseudouridines.
Source: RNAcentral
CUGCAUUCACUGAUAGGCCUUAAAUUAAUGCUAUGGUUCUCUUGGUUUGCAGUAGGAUGCAAAAGAAAAAAGUCUCUGCACUUCUAUCUGUCUUUGUGGGUGCCCAGAUUGAGUAGGGAAAUAUAUUU